AGUAAUAUUUAAACAAUCUUCCCUCGAGUGGGAAACAACCUGACGAAAGUCGGGCUAAUGUCCCAUAAGACCACAUUCUGGCAUCAGAGAGAGGUCAAAGGUCCGCAAGGGCCGCUGGAGGAGGAGUUUAAAUCCUAUCAUGGUAGUUGGUGAGGUAACGGCUCACCAAGCCUACGACGGGUAGCCGGCCUGAAAGGGUGAUCGGCCACACUGGCACUGAGACACGGGCCAG
Molecule: ribosomal RNA, 232 nt
Filed under: uncultured bacterium
Lineage: Bacteria
Description: partial 16S ribosomal RNA
Rfam family: Bacterial small subunit ribosomal RNA
Source: RNAcentral